CUAGUGCACUGCUACACGCGUCGUUGCAUCUAUCUGCAGUUCUUCACCAAUCUUUGCUGCUGCCGAACCAAUUAGGUACGAGAUGGAGAGAGGGCAGGAGGAGGCUCCGGCGAUCAAUGCAAGAGGAGCAAGGCGGAGGCGGAGGGGCAAGACGGCUAGUCACGGCGACCACAACCUCCAUGACCAGGUGAGGGGAUCAAGAUGACAAGAAGUCAAAGCUCAACAAGGUAUUUUGGUUUCCUCCAAUACUUCAAGAGUUCUAUCAGCAACUCAUCGU
RNAcentral lists this long non-coding RNA (277 nucleotides) under Setaria viridis. RNAcentral's name for it is "long non-coding RNA (SVIR_LNC003772)". The record is from RNAcentral. Lineage: Eukaryota; Viridiplantae; Streptophyta; Magnoliopsida; Poales; Poaceae.